This 274-nucleotide ribosomal RNA is filed under the name uncultured bacterium. Its description in RNAcentral is "partial 16S ribosomal RNA". It matches the Rfam family "Bacterial small subunit ribosomal RNA", at positions 523 to 796 of the family's 1533-position model. The record is from RNAcentral.
AUACGGAGGGUGCAAGCGUUGUCCGGAUUUAUUGGGUUUAAAGGGUGCGUAGGUGGCGUGUUAAGUCAGUGGGGAAAGCCUGCAGCUCAACUGUAGAGGUGCCAUUGAUACUGACAUGCUUGAGUAUGGACGAGGUAGGCGGAAUUUGUGGUGUAGCGGUGAAAUGCAUAGAUACCACAAAGAACACCGAUAGCGAAGGCAGCUUACUGGACCAUAACUGUCACUGAGGCACGAAAGUGUGGGUAGCGAACAGGAUUAGAAACCCUAGUAGUCC